CACGGGAGAUCACAGACACAGAACUGUGAGGAUGGGCACCUGUCCCCGUUUCAGUGUGCACAGAACAUUGCUUUUGCAUGCAGAAUGGGAGAUAGCAUGCUUUGCUGCUGCCUGUGUGCAAAAGAAGCAAAUAGGUGUUCUUCCCCACUGCACCUGGAUAAAAUGUUGGAUAAAAGGUUGUCGGCAUAGCAGAGAUGCACAAAAGGACGUGGGGAAUUUUUUCCCUAGGAUCUGCGAAAAGUGAAGGAUUCAUUUUCCCUUUUGUCCCCUGAGAUGAGAGGCUGGGAAGUUGGCAUCUGUCACUCCAAGCUUUUUUUUCCUCUUCCUCAACACUUGCAGCUGCAGAAAGUGGGUCCAACCCCGCUGCCGGCCGAGCCGUGCACGAGAGCUGCCCAGCUGAGCUCCUUGAACUGCUGCGAGCAGAGAUGGCUCAAACAGUUGGCAGCGUUUGCCAUUCAGCCACCAGACCGAAGGGAACACGUUCAUACAGCUCCAGUUCGUGCAGCAUACAGUCCUAUUGUUCUUGGUUGACUUCUGUAGAGCUUCCUGUGCUUGGAGUCAGCCUUGUAGAUUCACUGAGCCCACGCCUACACCAACCAGAGCAAGUUCGACAGGGAGAUGGGCACGGCUCUGCUCCCAGCUCUGGCCUCCAGGCUCAAGACUCUCUUUCUUCUCCAGGAAAAAAUAGGGUGUCUGCUGGAGAAAAUAUUGGACUUAAAAGCUGCUGUGCUACUAUGAUGCUCCAUGAGUGA
RNAcentral lists this long non-coding RNA (752 nucleotides) under Coturnix japonica (Japanese quail). RNAcentral's name for it is "lncRNA (ENSCJPG00005014687.1)". Lineage: Eukaryota; Metazoa; Chordata; Aves; Galliformes; Phasianidae. The record is from RNAcentral.